This 556-nucleotide ribosomal RNA is filed under the name uncultured bacterium. RNAcentral's name for it is "partial 16S ribosomal RNA". It matches the Rfam family "Bacterial small subunit ribosomal RNA", at positions 355 to 902 of the family's 1533-position model. The record is from RNAcentral.
UGGGGAAUUUUGGACAAUGGGCGCAAGCCUGAUCCAGCAAUGCCGCGUGCAGGAUGAAGGCCUUCGGGUUGUAAACUGCUUUUGUACGGAACGAAAAGCCUCUCUCUAAUACAGGGGGGUGAUGACGGUACCGUAAGAAUAAGCACCGGCUAACUACGUGCCAGCAGCCGCGGUAAUACGUAGGGUGCAAGCGUUAAUCGGAAUUACUGGGCGUAAAGCGUGCGCAGGCGGUUUUGUAAGACAGUGGUGAGAUCCCCGGGCUCAACCUGGGAACUGCCAUUGUGACUGCAAGGCUGGAGUGCGGCAGAGGGGGGAUGGAAUUCCGCGUGUAGCAGUGAAAUGCGUAGAUAUGCGGAGGAACACCGAUGGCGAAGGCAAUCCCCUGGGCCUGCACUGACGCUCAUGCACGAAAGCGUGGGGAGCAAACAGGAUUAGAUACCCUGGUAGUCCACGCCCUAAACGAUGUCAACUGGUUGUUGGGGAUUUAUUUCUUCAGUAACGAAGCUAACGCGUGAAGUUGACCGCCUGGGGGAGUACGGCCGCAAGGUUAAAACUU